AGUUUCAGAUGGAGAUCACACUCAUCCCUAAACCAUUAGUUAUUAGUGAUUUGAUUUGUAUACUAUAUAGUCAUAAAUUCCUCUUUAAAUUCAAAUUGAAAUUUAUUUGUGUAUGUUAAAUUAUAAAUUGUUUUACCAUAUCAAUUAAGCAUUGAUUUUUUUAUUUCAUAUUCUUUAUUACAUAUUUUAUUGUUGUUGUUGUUAUUUUCUAUUUCUAAGGCUAUUAAUG
RNAcentral lists this long non-coding RNA (229 nucleotides) under Lathyrus oleraceus (garden pea). Its description in RNAcentral is "Pisum sativum (pea) long non-coding RNA (PSAT_LNC009382)". The record is from RNAcentral. Lineage: Eukaryota; Viridiplantae; Streptophyta; Magnoliopsida; Fabales; Fabaceae.